CGGACAGUUCGAGAGGUGUUAGUCCUCGCAAAAACCAAUUCCUCCAAGUUUGUCUUUCUUUGUGAGACGAGGCAAACUAAAGAAAAGAUGGAGAAGCUUAAAUGGCGGCUGGGUUUAAAGGAUUUCAGUGGUGUUUGUAGUAAUGGAAGAAGUGGAGGUUUGGCCCUAUUUUGA
This 174-nucleotide ribosomal RNA is filed under the name Triticum aestivum (bread wheat). Its description in RNAcentral is "partial small subunit ribosomal RNA". Lineage: Eukaryota; Viridiplantae; Streptophyta; Magnoliopsida; Poales; Poaceae. The record is from RNAcentral.